RNAcentral lists this ribosomal RNA (299 nucleotides) under uncultured bacterium. RNAcentral's name for it is "partial 16S ribosomal RNA". It matches the Rfam family "Bacterial small subunit ribosomal RNA", at positions 8 to 290 of the family's 1533-position model. The record is from RNAcentral.
AGAGUUUGAUCAUGGCUCAGGACGAACGCUGGCGGCGUGCCUAACACAUGCAAGUCGAACGGGGCUCUUUGGAUCGAGACUUCGGUCAAGUGAAUCUGAGCUUAGUGGCGGACGGGUGAGUAACGCGUGAGCAACCUGCCUUUCAGAGGGGGACAACAGUUGGAAACGACUGCUAAUACCGCAUAAUGUGUCGAGGAGGCAUCUCCUUGACACCAAAGAUUUAUCGCUGAAAGAUGGGCUCGCGUCUGAUUAGCUAGUUGGUGGGGUAACGGCCUACCAAGGCGACGAUCAGUAGCCGG